UAUAUAUAUAUAAUGAUUUUAACAAAUUUGUUUUUCAUAUAGAUAAAAAAUGUCAAGUAAGAAAUCAAAGUCAAGAAUUCAACAAAGUAGUAGUGAUUCUGAUUCUGGUCCUGAAGAUCGUCAUCCACCACAGAAGAAAGUAAAAGUA
Molecule: long non-coding RNA, 148 nt
Organism: Centruroides sculpturatus (bark scorpion)
Lineage: Eukaryota; Metazoa; Arthropoda; Arachnida; Scorpiones; Buthidae
Exons: 2
Source: RefSeq, a predicted model, not a curated record